CUUCUUCUUGAGAGCGGCGGACGGGUGAGUAAUGCCUAGGAAUCUGCCUGGUAGUGGGGGACAACGUUUCGAAAGGAACGCUAAUACCGCAUACGUCCUACGGGAGAAAGUGGGGGAUCUUCGGACCUCACGCUAUCAGAUGAGCCUAGGUCGGAUUAGCUUGUAGGUGAGGUAAUGGCUCACCUAGGCAACGAUCCGUAACUGGUCUGAGAGGAUGAUCAGUCACACUGGAACUGAGACACGGUCCAGACUCCUACGGGAGGCAGCAGUGGGGAAUAUUGGACAAUGGGCGAAAGCCUGAUCCAGCCAUGCCGCGUGUGUGAAGAAGGUCUUCGGAUUGUAAAGCACUUUAAGUUGGGAGGAAGGGUUGUAGCUUAAUACGCUGCAACCUUGACGUUACCAACAGAAUAAGCACCGGCUAACUCUGUGCCAGCAGCCGCGGUAAUACAGAGGGUGCAAGCGUUAAUCGGAAUUACUGGGCGUAAAGCGCGCGUAGGCGGCUUGAUAAGAUGGGUGUGAAAUCCCCGGGCUUAACCUGGGAACUGCAUCCAUAACUGUCUGGCUAGAGUACAGUAGAGGGUGGUGGAAUUUCCUGUGUAGCGGUGAAAUGCGUAGAUAUAGGAAGGAACACCAGUGGCGAAGGCGACCACCUGGACUGAUACUGACGCUGAGGUGCGAAAGCGUGGGGAGCAAACAGGAUUAGAUACCCUGGUAGUCCACGCCGUAAACGAUGUCAACUAGCCGUUGGAAUCCUUGAGAUUUUAGUGGCGCAGCUAACGCACUAAGUUGACCGCCUGGGGAGUACGGUCGCAGGAUUAAAACUCAAAUGAAUUGACGGGGCCCGCACAGCGGUGGAGCAU
Molecule: ribosomal RNA, 860 nt
Filed under: Halopseudomonas pachastrellae
Lineage: Bacteria; Pseudomonadati; Pseudomonadota; Gammaproteobacteria; Pseudomonadales; Pseudomonadaceae
Description: bacterial SSU rRNA
Rfam family: Bacterial small subunit ribosomal RNA
Source: RNAcentral